This 406-nucleotide ribosomal RNA is filed under the name uncultured bacterium. RNAcentral's name for it is "partial 16S ribosomal RNA". It matches the Rfam family "Bacterial small subunit ribosomal RNA", at positions 30 to 526 of the family's 1533-position model. The record is from RNAcentral.
AUUGAACGCUGGCGGCAGGCUUAACACAUGCAAGUCGAGCGAGCGGCGGACGGGUGAGUAAUGUCUGGGAAACUGCCUGAUGGAGGGGGAUAACUACUGGAAACGGUAGCUAAUACCGCAUACCAUCAGAUGUGCCCAGAUGGGAUUAGCUAGUGGGUGGGGUAAUGGCUCACCUAGGCGACGGUCCCUAGCUGGUCUGAGAGGAUGACCAGCCACACUGGAACUGGGAAACGGUCAAGACUCCAACGGGAGACAGCAGUGGGGAAUAUUGGACAAUGGGGGAAAGCCUGAUGCAGCCAUGCCGCGUGUGUGAAGAAGGCCUUCGGGUUGUAAAGCACUUUCAGCGAGGAGACGUUACUCGCAGAAGAAGCACCGGCUAACUCCGUGCCAGCAGCCGCGGUAAUUC